RNAcentral lists this unclassified non-coding RNA (312 nucleotides) under Hevea brasiliensis (rubber tree). The record is from RNAcentral. Lineage: Eukaryota; Viridiplantae; Streptophyta; Magnoliopsida; Malpighiales; Euphorbiaceae.
UUUUUUUAAAGGAAACAAAUCAUGCCAUAUAAAAAAAGGCAGAAUAAAGCUGCACACAGUAAUGGAGUAACCAAAAGAACCUCAAGAACCAUUAAAACAUAUUAAAGAACUGAAAUUUAAAUUUCUUUUUCCCUUUGGAUCAAUCUCUUCUCUCCCAUGUUACCCUCAACAAAGUGAAGAUCUUCACUAAUUAAACUAAAAAAAGAAAACAAAAAUCAGAAAAUGAAAGAAAAAACUGAAGAGAAAUUAGAAGGAAGUAACAACUACUACCAUGCUUACUCUCUAUAUCUAGCUAACAUUUAUUAUCGUCAU